RNAcentral lists this ribosomal RNA (451 nucleotides) under uncultured bacterium. RNAcentral describes it as "partial 16S ribosomal RNA". It matches the Rfam family "Bacterial small subunit ribosomal RNA", at positions 354 to 796 of the family's 1533-position model. The record is from RNAcentral.
GUGGGGAAUAUUGCGCAUUGGGGGAAACCCUGACGCAGCGACGCCGUGUGAGGGAAGAAGGCUUUCGGGUCGUAAACCUCUGUCAGAAAGGAAGAACCUCCCAAGUCCGAAUAGGGCUUGGGACUGACGGUACUUUCAAAGGAAGCACCGGCUAACUCCGUGCCAGCAGCCGCGGUAAUACGGAGGGUGCAAGCGUUAAUCGGAAUCACUGGGCGUAAAGCGCGCGUAGGCCGCUUUGUAAGUCGGACGUGAAAGCCCUCGGCUCAACCGGGGAACUGCGUUCGAUACUGCGAGGCUUGAGUCCUGGAGAGGGUGGCGGAAUUCCGGGUGUAGGAGUGAAAUCCGUAGAUAUCCGGAGGAACACCGGUGGCGAAGGCGGCCACCUGGACAGGUACUGACGCUGAGGCGCGAAAGCGUGGGGAGCAAACAGGAUUAGAAACCCCGGUAGUCC